This 70-nucleotide transfer RNA is filed under the name Dipodomys ordii (Ord's kangaroo rat). It matches the Rfam family "tRNA". Rfam says of the family: Transfer RNA (tRNA) molecules are approximately 80 nucleotides in length. Their secondary structure includes four short double-helical elements and three loops (D, anti-codon, and T loops). Lineage: Eukaryota; Metazoa; Chordata; Mammalia; Rodentia; Heteromyidae. The record is from Rfam by way of RNAcentral.
GGGAAUGUAGCUUAGAGGUAGAGUGCUUGCCUAGCAUGUAUGAAGUCCUGGGUUCAAUUCCCUAGUACCA